AGAGUUUGAUCAUGGCUCAGAACGAACGCUGGCGGCGUGGAUAAGACAUGCAAGUCGAACGGGACUUUUUGUUGUAGCAAUACGAGGGAAAGUUCAGUGGCGAUCGGGUGCGUAACACGUGGCAAUCUGCCUUAAAGUGUGGGAUAGCUCGGCGAAAGCCGAAUNNAUCCGCAUGUGGCUACGGAGACAUCUUCGGGCGCUAAAGGUGGCCAAGCUACCGCUUUUUGAGGAGCCGCGCCUAUCUGCUUGUGGCGAGGUACGGCUCACCAAGGCGAUGACGGGUAGCUCUGAGAGGACGACCAGCCACACUGGGACUGAGACACGGCCCAGACACCUACGGGUGGCAGCAGUCGAGAAUUUUUGACAAUGGGGGAAACCCUGAUCGAGCGACGCCGCGUGGAGGAUGAAGGUCUUCGGGUUGUAAACUCCUGUCAUUUGGGAACAAGGCGUAUGUGUUAACUGUACGUGCGUUGAUAGUACCAGAAGAGGAAGAGACGGCUAACUCUGUGCCAGCAGCCGCGGUAAUACAGAGGUCUCAAGCGUUGUUCGGAUUCAUUGGGCGUAAAGGGUGUGUAGGUGGCGCGCUAAGUCGGGUGUGAAAUUUCGGAGCUUAACUCCGAAACUGCAUUCGAUACUGGCGUGCUUGAGGACUGGAGAGGAGACUGGAAUUUACGGUGUAGCAGUGAAAUGCGUAGAUAUCGUAAGGAAGACCAGUGGCGAAGGCGGGUCUCUGGACAGUUCCUGACACUGAGACACGAAGGCCAGGGGAGCAAACGGGAUUAGAUACCCCAGUAGUCC
Molecule: ribosomal RNA, 798 nt
Filed under: uncultured bacterium
Lineage: Bacteria
Description: bacterial SSU rRNA
Rfam family: Bacterial small subunit ribosomal RNA
Source: RNAcentral